RNAcentral lists this signal recognition particle RNA (99 nucleotides) under Oscillospiraceae bacterium. Its description in RNAcentral is "signal recognition particle sRNA small type". It matches the Rfam family "Bacterial small signal recognition particle RNA". Rfam says of the family: The signal recognition particle (SRP) is a universally conserved ribonucleoprotein involved in the co-translational targeting of proteins to membranes. Lineage: Bacteria; Bacillati; Bacillota; Clostridia; Eubacteriales; Oscillospiraceae. The record is from RNAcentral.
GCGCGGGUCCCGUGCAAGGUCGCGCCGCGAACCAUGUCAGGCGGGGAACCGAGCAGCAUUAAGCGGAUUUCGGCUUGUGCCGCGGCAAAUCCGCGUUCG